Molecule: ribosomal RNA, 408 nt
Filed under: uncultured bacterium
Lineage: Bacteria
Description: partial 16S ribosomal RNA
Rfam family: Bacterial small subunit ribosomal RNA
Source: RNAcentral
AGUGAACGCUGGCUGCGUGCUUAAUACAUGCAAGUCGAACGGAGGCGCGCACUGGUGAGUAAUGUGUAGCUAUUCUGGCUUACACUAGAGGACAACAGGUGGAAAAGGCUGUUAAUACUGCAUAGUGUAGGAUGAGGCUAUAUUGUAUCAGCUAGUUGGUGCGGUAAUGGCGCACCAAGGUUAUGACGCAUAACUGGUCUGAGAGGAUGAUCAGUCACACGGGAACUGAGACACGGUCCAGACUCCUACGGGAGGCAGCAGUAGGGAAUAUUGCUCAAUGGGGGAAACCCUGAAGCAGCAACGCCGCUUGGAGGAUGACACUUUUCGGAGCGUAAACUCCUUUUGUUAGGGAAGCGGUACCUAACGAAUAAGCACCGGCUAACUCCGUGCCAGCCGCCGCGGUAAUAC